Molecule: ribosomal RNA, 589 nt
Filed under: Penicillium sp. MZKI P-267
Lineage: Eukaryota; Fungi; Ascomycota; Eurotiomycetes; Eurotiales; Aspergillaceae
Description: eukaryotic LSU rRNA
Rfam family: Eukaryotic large subunit ribosomal RNA
Source: RNAcentral
AGGAAAAGAAACCAACAGGGAUUGCCCCAGUAACGGCGAGUGAAGCGGCAAGAGCUCAAAUUUGAAAGCUGGCUCCUUCGGGGUCCGCAUUGUAAUUUGUAGAGGAUGCUUCGGGAGCGGUCCCCAUCUAAGUGCCCUGGAACGGGACGUCAUAGAGGGUGAGAAUCCCGUAUGGGAUGGGGUGUCCGCGCCCGUGUGAAGCUCCUUCGACGAGUCGAGUUGUUUGGGAAUGCAGCUCUAAAUGGGUGGUAAAUUUCAUCUAAAGCUAAAUAUUGGCCGGAGACCGAUAGCGCACAAGUAGAGUGAUCGAAAGAUGAAAAGCACUUUGAAAAGAGAGUUAAAAAGCACGUGAAAUUGUUGAAAGGGAAGCGCUUGCGACCAGACUCGCUCGCGGGGUUCAGCCGGCAUUCGUGCCGGUGUACUUCCCCGCGGGCGGGCCAGCGUCGGUUUGGGCGGUCGGUCAAAGGCCCUCGGAAGGUAACGCCCCUAGGGGCGUCUUAUAGCCGAGGGUGCAAUGCGACCUGCCUAGACCGAGGAACGCGCUUCGGCUCGGACGCUGGCAUAAUGGUCGUAAACGACCCGUCUUGAA